Molecule: ribosomal RNA, 253 nt
Filed under: uncultured bacterium
Lineage: Bacteria
Description: partial 16S ribosomal RNA
Rfam family: Bacterial small subunit ribosomal RNA
Source: RNAcentral
CACGUAGGGGCCAAGCGUUGUCCGGAUUUACUGGGCGUAAAGGGCUCGUAGGCGGCCAACUAAGUCAUACGUGAAAUCCCUCGGCUUAACCGGGGAACUGCGUCUGAUACUGGAUGGCUUGAGAUUGGGAGAGGGAUGCGGAAUUCCAGGUGUAGCGGUGAAAUGCGUAGAUAUCUGGAGGAACACCGGUGGCGAAGGCGGCAUCCUGGACCAACACUGACGCUGAGGAGCGAAAGCCAGGGGAGCAAACGGG